AUGACACAUGCAAGUCGGAUCGCUCCAACAAUGGAUUAGUGGCAUUUCCGGUGAGUAAGGCGUGGGAACCUUCCCUAUGGUUCGGAAUAGCUCAGGGAAACUUGGGGUAAUACCGGAUAAGCCCUUCGGGGGAAAGAUUUAUCGCCAUUGGAUGGGCCCGCGUCGGAUUAGCUAGUUGGUGGGGUAACGGCCUACCAAGGCAACGAUCCGUAGCUGGUCUGAGAGGAUGAUCAGCCACACUGGGACUGAGACACGGCCCAUACUCCUACGGGAGGCAGCAGUGGGGAAUAUUGGACAAUGGGCGCAAGCCUGAUCCAGCCAUGCCGCGUGAGUGACGAAGGUCUUCGGAUUGUAAAACUCUUUUGGCGGGGACGAUAAUGACGGUACCCGCAAAAUAAGCCCCGGCUAACUUCGUGCCACAAGGGGGGGUAAUACCAAGGGGGCUUAACGUUUGUUCCGAAUCACCUGGGCCGUAAAGCGCCACGUAGGCCCGAUGUGCCCAGUCAAGGGGUGAAAUCCCCGGAGCUCCACCUCC
RNAcentral lists this ribosomal RNA (535 nucleotides) under uncultured bacterium. RNAcentral's name for it is "bacterial SSU rRNA". It matches the Rfam family "Bacterial small subunit ribosomal RNA", at positions 48 to 616 of the family's 1533-position model. The record is from RNAcentral.